GAGCCCGUGGCGCAAUGGUUAGAGCGUUUGACUUUGGAUCAAAAGGUCACGGGGUCG
This 57-nucleotide transfer RNA is filed under the name Schistocephalus solidus. It matches the Rfam family "tRNA". From Rfam's summary of the family: Transfer RNA (tRNA) molecules are approximately 80 nucleotides in length. Their secondary structure includes four short double-helical elements and three loops (D, anti-codon, and T loops). Lineage: Eukaryota; Metazoa; Platyhelminthes; Cestoda; Diphyllobothriidea; Diphyllobothriidae. The record is from Rfam by way of RNAcentral.